UAGGGAAUCUUCCGCAAUGGACGCAAGUCUGACGGAGCAACGCCGUGUGAGUGAAGAAGGAUUUCGGUUCGUAAAACUCUGUUGUUAGAGAAGAACAGCGCAUAGAGUAACUGUUAUGCGUGUGACGGUAUCUAACCAGAAAGCCACGGCUAACUACGUGCCAGCAGCCGCGGUAAUACGUAGGUGGCAAGCGUUGUCCGGAUUUAUUGGGCGUAAAGCGAGCGCAGGCGGUCAAUUAAGUCUGAUGUGAAAGCCCCCGGCUCAACCGGGGAGGGUCAUUGGAAACUGGUUGACUUGAGUGCAGAAGAGGAGAGUGGAAUUCCAUGUGUAGCGGUGAAAUGCGUAGAUAUAUGGAGGAACACCAGUGGCGAAGGCGACUCUCUGGUCUGUAACUGACGCUGAGGCUAGAAAGCGUGGGUAGCAAACAGG
Molecule: ribosomal RNA, 429 nt
Filed under: Bacteroidota bacterium
Lineage: Bacteria; Pseudomonadati; Bacteroidota
Description: Bacteroidetes bacterium partial 16S ribosomal RNA
Rfam family: Bacterial small subunit ribosomal RNA
Source: RNAcentral